This 5274-nucleotide long non-coding RNA is filed under the name Phocoena sinus (vaquita). RNAcentral describes it as "lncRNA (ENSPSNG00000009109.1)". Lineage: Eukaryota; Metazoa; Chordata; Mammalia; Artiodactyla; Phocoenidae. The record is from RNAcentral.
AGUGUUAAGUAAGUGUGAUGGGGAGACCCAGAAUGAAAUGGCGCCCUGCUUUAUGAUCUGGUGCUGAGCAGCAGAGCGGAAUAAGAAUAGGACCCAAGGAGAGGCUUGUACAUUUUAAGCACUGAUGCUCUUUUCCCUGAGACCAUUAGCUCUAAGAGAAAGCUAAAGUAUUAGGGUUUAGGGACAAUGGAACUGGGCUGAAUUAUGCAAUUGCAUACUGUGCCGGCGAAAAGGAAAUCACCAGGUCUGCUCUCAGAUGGGCUAUUCCUGUGGGUGCCAAGAUGGCCACCAGCUAGCUGCUCCUGGCUUACAUCUUACUCUUAGCAACCCAAUGGAAAAAGAGCCCCACCUUCCUACUUUCCCCAAGUUUAGAUUAUUACUUCCAAUGAGCUGGCUUGGUUCAUGUCAAGAGACUUUCAGCACAACAACAACGAAGAAUUCAGAAGUAAUCCUCUGAAAAAAAAAUGCAGUACUGUUACCAGAAUAAGAAAGAAUGGAUGUUCUUGUCAAAUAAUUGAGGAAAUGAAUUAGAAUCUACUAUAUCUUUGGGAUGGAUAAUGGCUUUAUCAAUGGUGGAGCUUUUAGAAAAAUAUACCCCAUCAGAGGAAAAUGCCAUUUAUUCUCUGGGAGACGCUUAUAGUAUAUGAGAUAGAAGGUGUUAGACAGUGACCUAAUAAAAACCAUGAUUUGGGUCUUCUAAAAUAUGGCCUUCUGAACAACAGGAUGUAGUGUGUUGGAAAUAUUUAGUAAAAAUGCUUAUAUAAAAUUAACCAACAUGAAUCAGAAGAGCCUAAGAGAGAGUGGCAUGGACUAAUAUAUACUACCAAAUGUAAAAUAACUAGCUAAGUAUAUAGCUUACAGUAUAAGUAUAUAGCUUACAGUCACCAGUAAGAAAUGUAAUUAGUCUUUUAGUAAGUGGUCACAUAUGGGGCACCUGCAAUGUGUGGAGAAAGAAGACAUCAGUGUUUUGCUCAGAUCAUAUGAGAAGAAAAAAUUGAGAUGUUUUGGUCAUCAUGGGACUUCUUCGAUCAUAGCUAUUUGGAUUCACACUUAUCUUUGUUUCCAUAUUCUAAGAGCCCUGGUCCAGGAAGAUCCCACAUGCUGUGGAGCAACUAAGCCUGUGCGCUACAACUACUGAGCCUGCACUGUAGAGCCCGUGAGCCACAACUACUGAGCCCACGUGCCACAACUACUGAAGUCCGCACGCCUAGAGCCCUUGCUCCGCAACAAGAGAAGCCAUUGCAAUGAAAAGCACGUACACCACAACAAAGAGUAGCCCCCGCUCGCCAAAACUAGAGAAAGCCCGUGCGCAGCAAUGAAGACCCAACGCAGCCAAAAAAGUGAGUAAGCAAGACUGAGGACUUAAGCCCAGAAGACAGCCUGUCAGACAGCUCUGAGGGACUGCCCUGAAGAGAAAAUGCUGACCCUUGUUCUAGAUUUAAGGAGACAAAGGACAUCAGACAACCAAAUAUAAUACAUUAUUCUUGAUUGGACCUAUAUCAGAAAAAAAUGCUAUAAAGGACAUUUUGGAAACAAUUUGGAAAAUGUGAGUAUGUUCUGUGUAAUCAGAUAAAAUUUUUAUAACUAUGUUAAAUUUCCUGGUGUGAUCAUGGUGCUGUGGUUGUUUAUGUGGAAGAAUGUCCUUGCUCUGAGGAGGUAUAUAGGGCUGCAACUUACUUGCAAAUAGCUGGGGGAGAUGUAUACAAAGGGUGCACAAAUUUAUCACAAAUGUGGUAAAGUGUUAGCAAUUAGUGAAUGUAGGUGAAUGAUAGCCUACUAUUCAUUUCAACAUUAUUUGAAGUUUUCAAAUAAAAAGUUGGGGAAAAUAAUAAAUACAAACCUAAAAACAAUAUUAAUUUUAAAAGAAGUCGCUAAGCAGGAUACAAAUGAUCGAUCGGUAACAUAUGCUGAGGGCCGAUCAGUUAAUACAAGUGGUUUGAGUUUUGCACUUAAACCUCUUCAGCAGUUAUGCUGGGGGGGUUGUCAUCUAUCAGCUAACGGCUCUCAUCCUCGUGGCUUUUCUGAAUUCUCCUGUCUGUUUUUUCUGAGCCAGUUCCAGACUGCAAGGGGUUUACCAAAGAUUUACUUGUUAUUCAAUCUCUACAUUCGAACCAAAAAUGAUAGUCAGUGUUUAUCCUGUCUUUUGAGAAACUAAAAAAGUUACCUCCCACAUAAAUGUACUUUUUAGUUUUUCCUAGUGGGACAUAGAAAUCCAUCAUUAACUGUCACUUUGCCUUUUAGAAAUUAUUUAAUUCCUCGAAGAUUUAUUAUCUGUUUAAUCAGAGCAAACUCCUAAUGCAUCAGUAAUGAUCAGUAACGUACCAGUAAUUAUACACCAUUUUCAACCUAUAUUUCAUCUGUGUAUUUUUAUGAAAGUUUUUCUCUAAAUUAUGCUUUUGUCUGUGGGCAGUAAUUUUGAGGUUUAGGAACCAGCUGAGGUAUAGAUUAUCUUGAAAGGUUGCAUAUGGAUCUGCAAGGGCUUGGGAAUUCCGUGAAGAAGCACUUGCGGGCAGGGGUCACGAAGCAUUUUUGGCUCUGCAGUGCAGUGAAUGUGAUGGUCACUCUUUAGGACCAGUCCCUUAGCUCCGUGUCAGGUUGACUCAUUGGAACAUAAAAUCUAUUAGAUCACAAUUCAUUUUGUCUCAGAUUGUCGGCAGAGACUAUAUAGGUUGUGGCUUCUCAAGGCAACAAAAACAGCAUUUGUUUUACUAAUAGAGCUGAUGGUCUCUUCAAAGCAAAAAUCUAAAUCAGAAACAAAUUGUCCUUGACCCACUGGCUGCGAUUUAAAACAACUCCCCAACUGUCACAGAAAGGAACGAGACUGAAUUCGAUGUAAAAUGCAUGAACCAGUUUCUAAAAAUAAAAUUGGAAGCACUUUAGUUGAUACAACCUUCAUUCCAGGAAAAUGAGUUAUACGAGUGUCUUAUAUUGUUUUAUGGAAGUUGGAGAUUAAAAUGAUUUUUGGUAGACAUCGUGUCGGCUUCCUAUUCGAAUGAGUCCAGAAUGAAGCUGAAUAGAAUUAUAGGGGGGAAAAAAAUGAAUGACCAUUACUGGCAGUGAAACAACCAGGCAUUGCCAAUAACUUUUUAAGCACAUAUAUACACACUUUACACUCCUUUCAAAUUUUUUAUUGGUUCUGUCCAUGUAGAAUGAAGGUUCUAUACCAGUGAUACCUCUCAAAGCUGAUCCCUGAUGACUCAAGCUAUUUUAUGGCUGAUCCACUCCAGAGUUUGGAGAAAGGGGAUAGUGGUCAGCUCUUUGUAACCCCAUGUGUCCCAUUCAAGGCCAGCAACUGGUAACGUCAUCCUCCCUCUUCCAAGAAGAUGAGCCCUGCAAAAUGCUUUUACAAAGUGAAGUGUAAAAGUUAAAAAAUCAGACGUAUGUAGUGAGAGUAAUGUUUUUUAUCUCUUCUUCUUGGUAAUUUCUUUUUAUUCUCCAGUCCUUAUAUCAUUUAUUCUGAACAUUAAUGCUGAGGUUUAUUGCCCCAGUGAAAAGUAGGCACCAAAAAUCUCAGGAAGAACAAAAGAAUCAAGUCGUAGGCUCAAACACCUGUACUGAAUUUCAAAAUAGGUUCUUCAACCUAGGACAGAGGCAGAUUCAAAGGGCAAAAAUAAAAAACAAUGUUUUCUUGAGCUCCAGAAGGAAAAGAACAUGAAGUGCUCAGAACAUGGUGUUUAUAUGAUAAAGUCCUGUGUUGAUUUCCUGAAACACAAAGAAAAAAGAAGAACACUUGAGGGAGAGAACUAGAGAGAUGUGGGAGAGUGAAAAGACUUAAAGCGAGUGAGUGUUGAAGGCCUUUGUAAAAGGGCCUCUUAACGCUGUUGCCUCUGGGUCCAAAUCCCCAGGAGGGAAAGGGUGAUGGAAACCCCCGGAAAGAUGUGGGAAGACAAGACAGGAGGGGACUUGUGCCCUGUGUCCUGUCUGGAAUGGUGGGAGGAAACGGCCUUCCUGGGUACCCCACACCAAAGUGGAGAAGCCACAGUAGAAGGGGAAUGACAGGGCAAGUGCAGGAGAAAAAGCAUGUGAGGAAGACCCACAUCACACAUAUGACACCUUAAGUCUCCAUUUGUACCUGCAGUGCCUGAGGGAGGGACUUGAGUGAGCACAGAGAGAACUAAAGUAUAGGAUUGCAGAGGAGGGAGAGGGACUCUCACAGCAGAGGCUGGGGGUGGGCAGCCAGAGUCGGAGAUGAAAUGGAAAAUGUUGCUGAGUUUCAGAAGCUCAACGGACCCCAGCCAGAGCUGAGUCUGGAGCCCUGUCAACAGGGUAGAAGGCCGAACCCAGAAGAGCAAUUGCCCUGAGGUGAACCUGUUGAGAUAACAGUCUUUGAGUUACAUCAACAGUGGAUGCCAGCAGAAAAGUGAUUGCAGCCAAGGUUUCUCUCUCAAUGCCAAGAUUAUACAUAAAUUCCCCAGAGCCUCUGACUGCUCCUGGGGAGAGCGAAGGAGAAGGGAGAAGAGAUGAAAUAGAAAAUGAUUAUGUACCCCUAAAUGCCAUGGUUCUCGACCAGGAGUUAAUUUUGUUCCUUGAGAGACAUUUGAAAACGUCUGGAGACGUUUUUUGGUUGCUACAGAGGGGGAGGGGAUGUACCUACUGGCAUCCAGUUGGCCGAGGCCAGGGAUGCUGCUAAACAUCCUACACUACAAAGAACAGCUCUCCCAGCAAAGCAUUAUCCUGCCCCAAAUGAGUAGUAUUGAGGGUGAGAAACCCUGAGCCAAAGUGACCGAGUUACCCCCAUCAAUAGAAGUAAAAACAUGAGAAAUGUUUUUGAAAAGCUGUAUUUUUGCACACCUGAGUUUCUGUGACUGAACGGACACACACACACUACAAUACCAAGAUGGAGACUUGAAGAAAAUGGUGAGUGGAACACAAAAUGGUAAGGUAUAUCCCUGAGGACCUUCAACAUUUAAAAUUAGAUAGGAGAAACCAGUAAAGACGAUUUCAGGAAGAGGCAGCGAGGUACAGAAGAAGCCAAGAGAGUAUGUAGUAUCACAGAAGCUAAGGGAAAGAGAAGCUCAUGAAGGACACUCCAAGAAGUCAAGGUAACUAGGAAAAAAUAUGUCAAUUGAAUUCCGCCUCCUGCCUAUUUGGGAAGGGAUGAGAUCCAGAGGACAUGGGAAAGGAUUAGCUUUGGGUAGGAGAAGAGAUUCUUCCUCCUCUGCAACAGGACAGAGAAAAUGAGAAUGGGUGCAGAUACAGGUAGGUUUGUAAAUUUUGUUGCAAAUAAAUUGUGAAUUUCCCACAUCAGAGGCAAAAUAAUCUGCUAAAACUGAG